GAUGAACGCUGGCGGCGUGCUUAACACAUGCAAGUCGAACGAUGAAGCCCAGCUUGCUGGGUGGAUUAGUGGCGAACGGGUGAGUAACACGUGAGUAACCUGCCCUUGACUCUGGGAUAAGCCUGGGAAACUGGGUCUAAUACUGGAUAUGACUUCUCAUCGCAUGGUGGGGGGUGGAAAGAUUUAUUGGUGUUGGAUGGACUCGCGGCCUAUCAGCUUGUUGGUGAGGUAAUGGCUCACCAAGGCGACGACGGGUAGCCGGCCUGAGAGGGUGACCGGCCACACUGGGACUGGGACACGGCCCAGACUCCUACGGGCGGCAGCAGUGGGGAAUAGUGCACAAUGGGCGCAAUCCUGAUGCAGCGACGCCGCGUGAGGGAUGACGGCCCUCGGGUUGUAAACCUCCUUCAGUAGGGAAGAAGCGGGAGUGACGGUACCUGCAGAAGAAGCGCCGGCUAACUACGUG
RNAcentral lists this ribosomal RNA (466 nucleotides) under uncultured bacterium. RNAcentral describes it as "partial 16S ribosomal RNA". It matches the Rfam family "Bacterial small subunit ribosomal RNA", at positions 28 to 507 of the family's 1533-position model. The record is from RNAcentral.